GAACGGACUUAGCCAACGACACGU
Molecule: non-coding RNA, 24 nt
Filed under: Arabidopsis thaliana (thale cress)
Lineage: Eukaryota; Viridiplantae; Streptophyta; Magnoliopsida; Brassicales; Brassicaceae
Source: RNAcentral